This 503-nucleotide ribosomal RNA is filed under the name uncultured bacterium. RNAcentral's name for it is "bacterial SSU rRNA". It matches the Rfam family "Bacterial small subunit ribosomal RNA", at positions 30 to 529 of the family's 1533-position model. The record is from RNAcentral.
AGCGAACGUUUGCGGCGGGCCUAACACAUGCAAGUCGAACGGGCAGGGGCAACCCUGUCAGUGGCGCACGGGUGCGUAACACGUGGGUAAUCAACCCUUUGGACUGGGACAACCCGGGGAAACUCGGGCUAAUACCGGAUGUGGCGUGGCGGUCCUCGGACUGCUCCGCGAAAGCUCCGCAAGGGGCACCAGAGGACGAGCCCGCGUCCCAUCAGCUAGUUGGUGAGGUAAUGGCUCACCAAGGCGAAGACGGGUAGCUGGUCUGAGAGGAUGAUCAGCCACACUGGAACUGAGACACGGUCCAGACUCCUACGGGAGGCAGCAGUGGGGAAUAUUGCGCAAUGGGCGAAAGCCUGACGCAGCCACGCCGCGUGUGCGAUGAAGGUCUUCGGAUCGUAAAGCACUGUGGGGGAGGAAGAAACAAGCCGGUGAAGAGCCGGCCCUGACGGUAUCCCCUUAGCAAGCACCGGCUAACUCCGUGCCAGCAGCCGCGGUAAAGUGUG